UUUUAUUUUUAAUUAAUUUACUUGGAAAUAUUGCAUUAAUUUUUAGAAAUUGAUAUAAGUAGUCAUAAAAAUAUUCUGUUAGUGUUGUAGUUGUUUUGUUGGGAGUUUUUUUUUUAAUGAUGCAUCGGUUGCUAUUUACGAAUUAAACUGAGUUAGUAUAAUUGAACGCAACUAUAAAAUCUAUAAUCUACGUCUCAUAAAUAUCGAAGGAACUAUUAUCAUCUUUGGAUCUUUCGGCGAUCUCGCUCAAUAAUGAUGAUGUCAUUAUCUAUGCAUCUUGUCUUCGCUCUUCGAGAAGACGAGCCAACGUUUUUGUUCUCCGUAAACGAAGACGACGCCUGAAGAAUAAUAAAUGAAUAUGAAGACAGUGGAUCAAAAAGGCUUGAAGUAUGGAAAAGCAGUCCCACUCGUAAAUUAUACUCUUGGGAUUGGAAAAGGCCCAUUUGUGGAAACAGUUGUUGCAAAGAAACAAAAAAUUAGGAUUGGAAACUUGGACUCUCCACAAUCUCCUCUUGUACUUGAGAGGUGCAAUUUCCGUGAUGUUCUGUCUCUUGCUUGUUGGCUCAUUUCAACCAUCAGUGUAUUUCUCCGUUGGCAACGUUUAGUAAUAAAACUGGAGCACCGUACUGUCUACAAUAAUCCUGGAGAUUAUCCAACAAAUGAAAGAGACUAAGGUUCAACUUGGUCAUACUGAAACAGCCAAGGUCUACAGUGGUGUCUUUUGUGAACUACAUAUUCUUGAUUUGCUGUUUUCGUCUUCACCUUGCAACAUCAUGAAGUUAAUUUUCAACUGAUAAAUAAGAACAACAGGAGAUUUACUGAAACAACAUUUUGUGCUGUGGUAUUCCUUCUGGAUUUAGUCUGCAUUUCACAUCUGCAAACUUUGAAAAGUUACAGUCUACAAUUAAUUAAGAUCGACGUUGGAGAAGACAAAGAUGACCCCGCAGUUGAA
This 952-nucleotide unclassified non-coding RNA is filed under the name Agrilus planipennis (emerald ash borer). RNAcentral's name for it is "uncharacterized LOC112906705, transcript variant X2". Lineage: Eukaryota; Metazoa; Arthropoda; Insecta; Coleoptera; Buprestidae. The record is from RNAcentral.